Molecule: long non-coding RNA, 1640 nt
Filed under: Homo sapiens (human)
Lineage: Eukaryota; Metazoa; Chordata; Mammalia; Primates; Hominidae
Description: HSALNT0230742
Source: RNAcentral
AAGCGUUGAUGUGGAUGAUUCCAGACCAACAGUUGGAAAGAUAUGCAGUAGCCUAGACAAGAACUAGAAGAGCCUUUGUCCGCCGGAUGCGGUGGUUCACACCUGUAAUCUCAGCACUUUGGGAGGCCGCGGUGGGCAGAUCACGAGGUCAGGAGAUCAAGACCAUGCUGGCUAACAUGGUAAAACCCCAUCUCUACUAAAAAUACAAAAAUUGGCUGGGCGUGGUGGCGUGUGCCUGUAAUCCCAGCUACUUGGGAGGCUGAGGCAAGAGAAUCACUUGAACUAGGGAGCCGGAGGUUGCAGUGAGCUAAGAUUGUGCCACUGCAAUCCAGCCUGGCAACAGAGCGAGACUCUGUCUCAAAAAAAAAAAAAAAAAAAAAAGAGCCUUAGUCUUUCAAAACAGAAAUUUGCAUGGUUGGAUUGUUUAAUGACAGAAGAGGUAGCAAAUGUCAGUGAGCACCUUCUCCUUUAUCCAUAGACUACAUUGCAGGGGUGAGUUAAAAAGAAAGGGUAACAUGGGGCCAGGCACGGUGGCUCACACUUGUAAUCCCAGCACUUUGGGAGGCUGAGGUCAGAGUUCAAGACCAGCCUGGCCAACAUGGUGAAACUCCAUCUCUACUAAAAAUACAAAAAAUUAGCUGGGCGUGGUUGAGGGCACCUGUAAUCCCAGCUAUAUGGGAGGCUGAGGCAGAAGAAUGAUGUGAACCCAGGAGGCAGAGGUUGCAGUGAGCCGAGAUCAUUCCACUGCACUCCAGCCUGAGUGACGGAGCGAGACUCCAUCUCAAAAAAAAAAAAAAAAAAAAAAAAAAAAAACGUAAAAUGCACAGCACUGCUAGGGUGUUGCAUCUUGUUUGAGUUUCUGGGCUUUCUCUCCACUAGAGUGGCCGCCCAGAGACCAACACUUGCUUUGCGUACCUCUGGCCAAGGGCGCUACUUCCUCUAGUAACAAGAAAGAUGAUGGGAGGAUGGGAGGAGCUGCCUCCAUGGCCUUGUGAAAACCUGAAUCUGAAAAAUGUCUGAAUUUGUUAAAGACCAGUCCAAAAAUUUGAGAAAAUGAACUCAUUCUGGGAGUGGGUUUUUUCCACUCUCAUUAGGCUGAGCUACCAAUUCUUUUUGGGGGCCUUAGUGCCUGCCAUGGUCAAGUUCUAUAGAAACACCACUCAACACAGAGUUACCCAGAAAAGGCAAAGCUAUCAAGAUAGAAAGUAGAUUAGUGGCUGCCUAGGGCUCAAGUGGGUAAAGGAGUGACUGCAAAUGAACCUUAAAGAUCUUUCUGGGGACGGAGGUAUUUUAAAGUUGGAAUGUGGUGAUGAUUGCACAGCUCUGUACAUUCACUAAAAAUUAUUGAAUUGUACACUUAAGAUGGGUGAAUGUCACAGUAUGUAAAUUAAAAUAAAUCUCUUUUAAAAAAUAUUUAAUCAGCCAGGCGCAGUGACUCAUGCCUGUAACCCCAGCACUUGGGGAGGCCAAGGCGGGCUGAUCACUUGAGCUCAGGAGUUUGAGACCAGCCUGACUAACAUAGUGAAACCCUGUCUGCACCAAAAAUACAAAAAUUAGCAGGGCGUGGUGGUGUGCCCCUAUAGUCCCAGCUACUAGGGAGGCUGAGGUGGGAGGAUCACUUGAGCCUGGGAGGCAGAGGU